GCGAAAGUCCGGCAAGAGGGAGCGGUGAUAAGGAGGGUGCAAGGGUGAGUCGUAAUGACUGGGCGUAAAGGGUGGGGAGGCGGGGAUAUAAGUCAGAUGGUAAAAACCAAGGCUCAGUCUUGGAAGUGCAUCUGAAACUGUAUUUCUAGAGGGAUAGCGGAGAAAACGGAAUUCCACGUGUAGCGGUGAAAUGCGUAGAUAUGUGGAAGAACACCUGUGGCGAAAGCGGUUUUCUAGCUUAAACCUGACGCUGAGGCACGAAAGCAAGGGGAGCAAACAGGAUUGGAUACCCCAGUAGUC
RNAcentral lists this ribosomal RNA (300 nucleotides) under uncultured Pyrobaculum sp. RNAcentral describes it as "bacterial SSU rRNA". It matches the Rfam family "Bacterial small subunit ribosomal RNA", at positions 496 to 795 of the family's 1533-position model. Lineage: Archaea; Thermoproteati; Thermoproteota; Thermoprotei; Thermoproteales; Thermoproteaceae. The record is from RNAcentral.